This is a long non-coding RNA of Quercus lobata, 1408 nucleotides long. RefSeq lists it as uncharacterized. Lineage: Eukaryota; Viridiplantae; Streptophyta; Magnoliopsida; Fagales; Fagaceae. The transcript has 5 exons. The record is from RefSeq and is a predicted model, not a curated record.
CCUAGGUACAGUACUUCAGAUACCCCUUUUAAAAUUAAGACACUUGUUCAUUUACUUAACAGUGUACUGCCGUUUGCUUCUCCGUUUAUUUCUUUCCCUUCUUUUUCUUCUCCCUGUUUCAGACUAAAGACUUCCCACGAGAAAACUGAAAACCCCAAAAUCCCAAGCUCCUAUCGUUCUCUCUCUCCCUCUCUGUUCUUCUCUUUCUUUCCUUCUCUCUCAUUCAGAUGAGAUGAAAUAGUUUCUCCAAAAAAAAAAAGAUUAGAUGAAAUAGACGAAUCCAGCUCUGAAAAUAACUCAAUCUCGCUCUGAUUUCGUAGAUUGGUUGGCUGGCACUAAGAAAAUUUGUUGGUGAUGGGGAUCAAUUGCAAAAGGUUGUGGAAGUUCUAUCUGAUAUGAAGGGACUAGGAUUGUCUCCCAAUAGCACCCCGUAUUCCAUGUCUGCUGUGAUGUAUUUUAGGAACAAGACAAAAGCUUUGCUGUUGAUUUCAAUUGUUUGUAUUGACUCCUUUUAAAAUCUUAGUGAUUUGAUUCUUAAAGUGGUUACAUAUUUUAUGUUCAAUGGAAAAAUAAAAAUUAUAGUUAUCCCUAUCAGAUGUGAAAAACUCCCUAAAUAAUUAAAAUGGUGUUCAAUGUUACUUGAACACCAUUUUAAUGAUAAGAAUGUUUCCUUGAUGAUUUUAGAAAUAUAGUCUUUCUUGUCGAUAAUGAAUUUGACGAUCCUUUAAAUUGUCGUCUUUCUUGGCUGGUUUGCAGUUGCUUAACAUUUUUGAUAUUGCAUUUCAGCUCAAAUGCAGUUGCUUUUGUUAGAAAUCAACUUCAACAGCAUUGAGAUGUUCAGCUAGCUUGUGAUUUGUGAAGCAUUGGCUCAAGCAGUUCUGGAUCAACGAUCAGAAGAUAAUGUCAGCAUUGUCAUUGCUGAUUUAGGACAGAUUGGCAAAGUUUGCCACUUCAGGAUUUAUGAGAGAUGCAUCUCAAGGAUUGACCAUUCAUUCCUGGUCUAUUAAAGUCUGCCCAAAAAAUCUAUUCUCAUUCACCAAAAUGAGUUGAUCGAGUUCAUUAAUCGGACUGAUCCUGUUAUAUCUCCUCACUGAUUGGAAAGAAUAUCUUAGUAUUAAGAUGCAUCAAUGUUAAGCCCAGUAGGAGAACUGAAAGAAACAAUUAUAAUAUCCAAAAAUAUAUGCAUUGUUUGGACGAAAGAUUUAUACAACAUGGAGACAUAAAGUAAUUUGCAGCUCAACCAUUUCAAGUGUCUUGAGACAUAAAGUGAUUUGCAGCUCAACCAUUUCAAACGGCAGAAAGACGUGUUAGAUUGAAUAGGCAGUAGGACUUAAGAUGUUGAAUACAUUCAAAUUAUUUUGUACAAUUGCAAGUUAUAUAAAAAUUGCAAAAUAAGCAUUGUAUUUAA